CCUACGGGGUGCACCAGUGGGGAAUCUUAGACAAUGGGCGCAAGCCUGAUCUAGCCAUGCCGCGUGUGUGAUGAAGGUCUUAGGAUCGUAAAGCACUUUCGCCAGGGAUGAUAAUGACAGUACCUGGUAAAGAAACCCCGGCUAACUCCGUGCCAGCAGCCGCGGUAAUACGGAGGGGGCUAGCGUUGUUCGGAAUUACUGGGCGUAAAGCGCGCGUAGGCGGAUUGGAAAGUUGGGGGUGAAAUCCCGGGGCUCAACCCCGGAACUGCCUCUAAAACUCUCAGUCUAGAGGUCGAGAGAGGUGAGUGGAAUUCCGAGUGUAGAGGUGAAAUUCGUAGAUAUUCGCAGGAA
Molecule: ribosomal RNA, 351 nt
Filed under: Stenotrophomonas maltophilia
Lineage: Bacteria; Pseudomonadati; Pseudomonadota; Gammaproteobacteria; Lysobacterales; Lysobacteraceae
Description: bacterial SSU rRNA
Rfam family: Bacterial small subunit ribosomal RNA
Source: RNAcentral